UGGGUAACCUGCCUCAAAGAGGGGAAUAGCCUCCCGAAAGGGAGAUUAAUACCGCAUAAUAUGUUUAAGUCGCAUGACUUUAACAUCAAAGGAUUUUCUUUUAGAAAUUCCACUUUGAGAUGGACCCGCGGCGCACUAGCUAGUUGGUGAGGUAACGGCUCACCAAGGCAACGAUGCGUAGCCGACCUGAGAGGGUGAUCGGCCACAUUGGAACUGAGACACGGUCCAGCUCCGUAGGG
Molecule: ribosomal RNA, 239 nt
Filed under: uncultured bacterium
Lineage: Bacteria
Description: partial 16S ribosomal RNA
Rfam family: Bacterial small subunit ribosomal RNA
Source: RNAcentral